UUUUUUUUUUGAGAGAGAAGGAAAAUAUGUACUGGCAGGUAGAGAGGGUUUCUAGCCUUUCUCUGCCUGCUUAUUUAUCAUGCUUCCUACUUCUUUGCACAGGCACCUUCUUGCCCAGGACCUGCAUUUUUUUUAACCCUUUGAAGAGCCUAGGCAAGGAAAAGUACAGAAAUUCUAACAUAAUAAUUUAAAAGAAUUUGCAGACUCCACUUUUCAUCUAGGAUAAGGGUUUUAUAACCUUCAGUGGAUCUUCUGGUGUCAUGGUUCAUUUGAAUCUCCCCUGCGGGUCCUUCAGACUUCAUUGUUUGCAAUAAAUAGGAAACCUACUCUGGGUGCCCAAGAGACCAUCCUGAUCUAUGUCUCUGUCUGUAAAGGAGUUCAUAGAGGUUACCAGUAGGAAGGUGUUGGAUUGGGAGAUGCCUGAGAAGUCUCUAUGGACUCACUGUGACUGUACAUAAGGAAAUACUGCACAUGUUGGCCAGACUUUGAAGUUGGUUUUAGCUUGCUGCAGGGUAGGAAGGGGACCCAAGGUGGACAAUCAGAAUGAGAUGACAGGUCAUUCCAAAUCAAGCUGUGGCAUGCUAUGCUCCCUGGCUUGGGAAGGAGAUGUACUGUCCUCUACAGUAAACAGAACUGAGCAAGAACACCCAGCAGAUGUGGAGACAGGAGAUGGAAUCUUUACUCUUGAGCUGACAGGUCCCCUGCCCUGCUAGGGCACAACUGAAUGUCCUUGGUGCCUUGGAGGUUCUACCCAGUCUCUUCCCAAACCCAGUCCAUCCUAAGUGGGAACGGAUCCUUGUUCCAGACUCAGCACAAGACUUGAUGGCUAGGGUCAAAAAUGGCUUGAAGAGAUCAUGAGACCUGGAAGGGUUGUACCAGACCCUGCACCGUUUAAUUUGUUCAACCAACACUAAAGGGAAAGUAAUAGGCUUUAUCCUAAAGACUUGGGCAACUUACCAAAAUUUGCAGAUUCAUUCACAGCCGCUUGCAGACAUGCAAACAUGGCCAAGAUUGUUUUAGAUUAUUCCUGCUCAUUUAUUUCAGAUAGUGGCCCCUCUUUCAGGAGGGAUUAGGUCAGACUUUUUUUUUUUUUUUUUUUUUAAGGCAUCUUCACAUUAUACCACCUUUUGGGGAAUAAUACCUUGACCCUGCUCUGCACUUUAUGUUCAUUAUUGGUUUUGAGUCUCAAAGUAAUGAGAAACAAUAGGCAGCAGUUUUUUUCUCAAGUUUUUAAUACAUACAAUGACUUUCAAAGUUUCUUCCUUCUCCCUGUUUCAAAAUAUUUCUGCUCUGCUUUAGUAAUUUUAGGGGUAUUGUGGGGGAAGACAAUCUUUCACGUUUAACAAAAAGCUGGAUCAAUUCACUUAAAUCUCUUUUAAAGGUCAGGAUAGGAAAAAAUUGGCAGUCAUAAUUCUGGUUUCUUUAAAAAGCCUCUAUUCUUAGGCUGAGAUAAUUUUCUUCCUAAAAAAGACUUUCUGUUUUUAGAGAUAAAGGUGCACCCAUUCGUAAGAAACUCCAUCUCAUGUUUAGCGUUACCCCGUUUUCACGUUUGCUGUCACGAAUACUCCUCACACCAUCUAUGAGGUAGAUAUUAUUUACAGAUGACAGAAUCCAAAUUCUAAGGAUGAAUGAACAACAGAGGCAGGACACAUACCCAGGACUCACCCGUUGUGCUAAGUAUACGGAAAAUGCUGUGAGCCCUGCGAGGUUUGAAAGCAAGUCUCCCCUCUAGGCUGGCUGGCCUUUUGACUCCUCCUUUUCUCCCGGAAUCACAGAAGUGGGAGUUCUCGCAGGAGACCCUGGGGCGGCGGGAGGGGGCGGGCGAGACCGUGAGCUGUCAGCCUCGUGGGAGCCCAGACGUCCGUGCGGAGCCCCGGCCCGGGCGCUGGGAAGGUCGGCUCCGGUGAGGGCGCACUGCCAGGGGAGGAGUAGAUCGCGUGCAGGGCGAACACUUUCUCAUCUCCCACUGGCCAUAAACACUGAUGCAUUUCCUUGGUAACUCCCACGCCCGAGGCCUGCAGGCCACCCCCCGCCGCGGGACAGGCCUUCCCUCGCCCUGGGCGGCCUAGGCUGCCUAGGCCCUGGCCUGCCUUCGGAGAUUCCCUCGCGAGAGCUGCCCUGGGGUCGCUUAGGCCCCUGUUCUGGGACCCUCCCUCCCCCGAAGCCGGGCCUCAGCCCCGAGGCAGGCCGGGAACGUGCCCCCUGCGCGGCGCACCCCGGGCGCUGCCGAGGCGUGAGGGCGCGGGGCUGGGCAACUAGGGCGAGCGCCCCGGAAACGUACUGUGAUCCGAAAAUUGGCAGCGUGAACCGCUGCCCCCCUCCCUCCCAACCUCAUCACUAAGCCAGCCUCGAAGAGGCUCGCGGCGGCUGCGAGCGCUCGGACGCCCACCUCAGGCCAGGCUCUGAGUCAGGCUUGUCGCGGCGCCCCGAUGGGCUUGACCGCGCGUCCUCCUCGCGCCCUUUUCCGUGGGCGACCCCAGGAUGGAGGCUUGGGUUUCAAAUGCAAAACAUUCGUCUCCUGCAAUCAGAUCUGGCUUCCAGAGAAUCUUAAUACUUUGCGGAGAAAGCGCGUGGAGAAGACCCACGGCCCAAGCCCUUCUUCCCCUCAGCCGUACCUGCCCAUAAUAGACGUAAUGAAUUUGGACUGAACAUCUUCUAUUCAGUUCUUCAUGGAAUAUACUGUGGGGAGCUGAGACACCUGUGAGAAAGAUGUAAACUAGAGAGAAUGUAGCAAAUACAACCCUAUUGUGGUCACGAAGGAAAUGCCCAAGGAUGAAAAAGACAUGGAGGAGGACAAAGCUGUGUUCCAUCUGCUGCAUCAAAGGCAUAGUGCCAGCAGUUUCGUGAUGUCCAUAUCAUUAGAUAAAAAACUCAUGUGAAUCAAGGUAGGUUUGUUUUAUGUUUGACUUAGAAUGGAGAAAAGAAUGGGAAAGAUCAUACAAUACUUAGAUGGUUCAGAGAAGCUUGAAAAUAAUGCCAUCCAGGGAUCCCUAGGUAUGGCAAUUGUUUAAAAUGAUUCAAUUUGAGUCAGAAAUAUUUGUUACAUAUGAACUGUUUAUCUCAUAAAUUAUAAUAGCAGAUAUAAUGACUUCAUGGCUACAUUUUGUAAUAGAUGUAAAUAUACUGCUGUGUUAAGCAAACUUUUUUCAUGAAGAUAAAUCAGAAAAAUAUUUUGAGGUCCAUUAAAAGUUAUUUAAUUUUUAACUAUAAAUAUGAUAUAUCAUACUCAUUACAAAUCUGUAAGUAUACAAAUAAACACCACUCAAAAUCUCACAGGCAGAAUUAAUUUGCAUUUUGAAUUAUAAAAUUUAUUUCUUCAUUUGUUGAAUACUAUGAAAAAAAAAGUAUAGGUUCUUAAAAUGAACAAAGUUGAUUUCAUUGUGAAUGAGAAAAAUGGUCCUGCUUUUAGCCAAUAAAAUGCUAACACAGGACAUAUUUGACUGUACAACAUGGAAGAUUUCUAUUUUUGUAUGAAAAAAUUAGGAAGAGUCUCAUCUUGAAGUUAGUAAUAUGUAGGCUGACAUUUUGCUGUUCUGUCACCUCCAAUUUAUUACUGUUAGAGAGUGUUUGGAUCAGUUUUAACUUGCAUCACAUAUUUUUCAGUCAAAAAAAGAUUUUAAUUUGGAAUUGUUUUCUUUUGAAAGUAAUCUGAUUAUUUUUUCAGGGUUUUACUUAAUGCAUUCUAUUAUAUAUGCUUACCUAAACUUCUACCAGAGUAAAGCAUUUAUUGAUGGUGGUACUUAUGUAGAAAUUUUUAUUCAUUGGUUGCUAGUAAGUUGAUAUAUUUUACUUAUGAAAAUGAACAAUCCAAAUUUCUCCUCCAAGUUGAUUUUUUAAAAACAUUUUUCAUUACAAAUUUUCUAAGCCCAAAAGCAGCAAAAUAAAAGGGUAUUCAUAAUACUCUCAUUAGCUAUUUAUAGUUUGAAAAAUAAGUUUCAAAAUAUAUAGUUAAAUUAAAGUGAAUAUUCAAAAAGCUUUGUGAAUGUAGAAAGACAGUCUGUCAUUUGAGUGUUUUUUCAUCCUGAUUAGUACCUAUAAGUAUAUUGACAUGAUAGCCAUAUCUAUGAUUACAGUAACUUCCUUUUAUAAUCUUGAGUGAAAUAAAAUAUUGUUUUUGUAAAAUAUAUCCCACAUUAUUAAUGAAAUGAAGAAUUUGGCCAAAUUUAUUUAAAUUUUUCUACUCAAAAAACAGAUUCAUUAUGUGAAAAUUUGUUCGCUUAUUGCAUUCUUUCAUAACUAAGGAUUUAAGGAUGUUGUAGAGAACUCUAUACAGUAGUGUCUAUAUCUGGUGAUUUCUUUGUAUAAGUACAUGCUUUCCAUUUUGGAAGCAAACAUGUAAAUUACAUUAUCACUUACAGUGAUACCUCUUUAUAGUGAUAAAAGUACACUUAAUCCAUUUUCAAAAACAGCAUAUUAAUUUAAUUUAAACUGCUUAUUUAGGGUUGUGAUUAUAUAAAUAGAAUUAUGCUUUCUAUAGAGAGAAUAUUCAUGAGUAAAUUUAUGCAUUUACGUAGUAGCAUCUAAAAUAUUUCAGGGAAUGUUUUUGACAUACCAGUUAUAUAAACUAUGGUAUGUUAAAUAAAGUUGGUUAUGGUAUGUUAAAUAAAAUUCACUUAAAUAGUGAAUUUUCUAACAUAGUAAAUUUGUAGUAAAGGAGACAAAGGAUUAAGUUUGUUCUAUAAAGGGGUCAUAUGACUCAUUAAGUAAAAUCUCACAAAUGAGCAAAAUGUGUGAUCAUUUUAUUAAAAGAGGAAUUACAAAUGGCUAAUAAACAGAAGAAAAAAUUGUAACCUCAGUAAUAUCUGAGAAAAUACAAAUAGUAGUGCAAUAAGAUUAUCUUUUUUACAACUUAGAUUAGUAAGGCUUAAAAGACAUGUAAAGCUACCGAGAGUGAAGGUAAUUUACAUUCUUGACAAGAAUAAGAAUUAGUACAGUUUUAACAAUAUAUAGCAGUGAAGCUUUAUGAUGUUUAUAAUAAAAUAUUUUUAUCACCUAUACAAAGGAAAUAAUACAAGAUUUUUACUAAAGCCUACACUCCAAGAUGUUUGAGAUAGCUUUAUUUGUAAUAUGGAAAUAGAGUAAACCACCUAAAUGCCUAGGGAUGUGGUUAGGUAAAUUAUACUUCACUCAAAUGAUAGAACCUAAUGUAGUCAUUAAUAAUUAUGCAAUUAAUAAAUAGCAUAAAUAAUUUUGAUGCCAUAUGAAAAUGCUUCUGAUAUACUAAUUGAUAAAAGCUAUUUACAAACUUGUAUGCACAAUCAAUUUUAAAUAUGUUAAAAUAAGGGAGAGUUACUAGAAGGAAAUGUGUCAUACUGAGGUUCCACAAGGAGGACCAUUAUGGGUAUUUUUUCCCUGAUGGCUUUUUGUUUAUCAGUACUAAUCAAAGUCUGUUACCCUACUUUAAGGAAGGAAACAGAAGAAGGACCUUAAAAAAGUUUGUCAAUUGCCUCAAAUUAUGUGCAAAAAGAGUACGACUUUUUUUUUUUUUUUUAUAGUAAAGUAUUUGGAGCAAGCAAGAUAGCCAAAAUAACUGAAUCACUGAGAUAUAGUAUAGGGGCAGGCAUUUGAGCCUAAUGUUUAAGGUGUUGCUUGAGAUGCCCACAACCCAUAUAGGAGUGCUUGGGUUUAAACUCUGGCUGCGCUCUCUAUUCCAGCUGCUGUUAAUGUACACCCUGAGAGGCAGUGGUGCUAGCUCAAGUAGUCGGAUCCCUACCACCUUUGUGAGAGACUUGGAUUGAGUUCCCAGCUCCUGGCUUUGAUUUGCCCCAGCUGCAACUGUUGCAGGCAUUUGGGGAGUGACCCAGCAGAUGGACAGUCUCUCUCUCUCUUUGUUUCUCCCUCUCUUUUCCUUUCAAAUAAAUAAAAUCUUAUAAAAGAGUAUAUUUUUAGGAUGGAGUAAUGUGCAGUUAUUAAAAUUAUUUUUCUGAAGAGAUUUCAAAUGAGAUUUGUGCAAUUAAAAUAUGUAAAGUAUCAUAUAUAAAGUAUUAUUACAACUAUAUCCAAUGUGAUAUAUGGAGAGAAAACAAGAGUAGAAUGAAAUUGUCACAAGGUCAAAGGUGAUUUUUUUAAAAUGUUUUUACAUUUCUCAUAUUUUUUCACGAUAUAUCCCUAAUUACUUUUGUAAUCAGAAAAACAUAAGUGUUGGAAUUUUAAAAAUGUUUUAAAUUUAUUUAAUUUGUUUGAAAGUCCGAGAGACAGGGAGACACAGAGACAGGCAGAGAUCUUCCAUUUGAAGGGUCACUCCCUAAAUGCUCACAAUAGCCAUGGUGGGGCCAGGCUGAAGCCAGGAGCCUGAAACUCCUUCAGGAUCUCCCAGUUGAAUGGCAGGGACACAGAUAUUGGACCAUUACCUGCUGCCUCCUGGGUUGUGUGUUUACAAGAAACUGGCAACUGGAACAGAGCUGGGGCUUGAACCCAUGCACUCUGAUAUGGAAUGAGGGUGUCUUAAUGGCUACAACAAUGCCUCCCCAACAGAAUUUUUAAUAGGUUUUCUUAAAGUUUCUCUUGGGCAAAAUUUGUUGUAACUCAUCAGGCAUACAAUCUUGGAGUGUCAAGCAGACUUGUUAAUAUACAUAUGUACUUCAAAAUAAAGCAGCCCACUGAAUCAGUGGUCAUUAUGAAGAAAUAAAACACUCAUGCUCUUUUUUUUUUUUUUAAGUAAACUUAUUUGAGAAGGAGAGAGAGAGAGAGAGAGAACACGUGAGAGCGAGAGCAAGCUCUGUUUUAUGGAUUCACUCCCUAAAUGCCCACAACAGCCGUUUGUUGGGCUGAAGCCAGGAACUGGCAGUUCAGUACAGGUCUCCCAUGUGGAUGGCAGGGACCUAGACCUAAGUACUUGAGCCAUCAUCUGCUGCUUACUACAUUAAAGGAAAACUGGAAUUGUGAGAGGAGCUGCACUCCAAUGUGGGAUGCAGGUAUCCUAAUUGAUGUCUUAAACAUUAGACCAAAUGCCUGCCCAACUUUGACUUUUUAAAAGGCAAUUUAGGGGCAUUUGCUGUAGCACACUGCUUGGAACGCUGCCUUCCUUUAUCAGAGUGCCUUGGUUCAAGUUCUGACUUUAUUUCUCAUUCUAAUUUCCUGAUAAUGUGCACCCUGAGAAGCAGCAAGCGAUGAAUCAAGUACUUGGAUUUCUGCUACCCACAUAGGAGACCUGGACUGAUUUUUCCAGCUCCUAGCUUCAGUAUAGACCAGUCCUGGGUGUUGUAGGCAGUUGAAGACUGAACAAGGGGAUGGAUUUCUCUGUCUCUGUGUCUGCUUGUGUGUCUCUCUCUGUCUUUCAAGUAAAUAAAAAUAAAUAAAAGGGCAUUUAAAAGGGAUAUUUAAGCAAAAGGAGAAAAAAUAGUUUAAAACAUGCAGUUUUGGUCUUAAUUUUAGAAAGUUCAUUUCAAAUAAAAAAUAAAUAUAGCACCAUAAUAAGCCCAUCUGCUUUUAACCUGAAAUUAUUAGAAUUAAUUCCCUACUUAUUGUUCUUUCAUUGUGCUGUUUAUAGAUGAAUGUAUACUAUAAACAUGUGUCUUCAUAUUGAAUAUAUGAUCAUCUAAAAUCGGUUCAGCUAAUCACAAGCCAUGUCUUCCUAUCUCAUCUCAGACACAUACAAUAUGAUACAAACUACUCAAAUUACCAAAGUCAACAUUUUUUUCUGUGUGUUUUUUUUUUUUUAAUCAGUGUUCUUUUGAAAAGGCAUAAGCUUUCAGAUUGUAAGGAACCAAAGAUUAAAAGUUCAUAAAUAUCUAUUAGGAGAAACUUGUAAAACAUAUUUGUGUUGUUAUAUUUCACAAGAACUUUUUUCUCAAAUUUAGUUGUUUUCUUUUCCUCUGCAAAAAAAGAGCCAACUCUUUUUUAAAAAGUCCUGUCUACAACCUCAUCUUCCUCACAACCCCCCCAAAAGUAAAAAACAAAAAACAAUUUUGUUCAUACGAUAUUUCCCUUGAGGGCUUAAUCGGUUUAGUCUGUAGGAUUUCCUUUUUGGGUGACAUUAUCAGGAGAAAUUACCCUGUAUGGUUACCUAUGGUCAAUGAGAUUUGACAGGCUUUCCUUCUCGCUCGUCUGUGUGUGAGUGAAGGUUGCGGGCAGUUCCCUGAGACAGGAAGGUGUUGUCUAGACGUGACUCUUUGAAGUUGCUUUUACUUCUAUCUUCAGCUCACUGAAAUUUCGUUUUUGGGGGUUAUUAAGCACUCAGAGCUUGUGUAUACUGCAGCAUUAGUUAUUAUACUAUUUACUGUACUACUUUGGGGGAAAAGCAGGCUGGCUAUGGAAUUUGCCUGGAAUUCAUUCUUUGUCAUCCUUGGGUGGCCCUUACCCAGGCAGUAGCUUCAGGCCAAGGAGAAAGACAAGGAGAAAUUGAGAAGAGGAUUUUGUAAACUGAGAAAGUCCUCAUUAAGAUAGUUUAUAUCAGUCAUGUAACAGAAAUUUUUUAUUUGUUUUGUUUUUCUUAGGACUAGAGGAUUCAUUAUAAAAUUUUGGUUUAAAAAGAGUAAUAAUCGUGACAGAAAAGAAUGAUGUUCCAGUCAUUUUCUUAACCCAUUUUUAAAAAUGAUUUACUUGCAUUAUUUGAAAGAGUUACAGAGAGAGAAAGAGAGGGACUGAUACAGAGAGAGAUAUCUCCCAUCUACUGGUUCACUCUCCAGAUGGUUGCAAUGGCCAGAGCUGGGGCAGGCAGAAGCCAGGAGGCAAGAGUUUCUUUCUGGUCUCCCAUGGAGGUGUCUGGGGCUUAAACACUUGGACCACCUUUGGGCUUUUUCCCAGACCAUUAGCAGUGUCACAAGUGGUGGCUUUAUCCACUAUGCCACAACUCUGGCCCCUUCUUAACACAUUUUUAAAACUUGCAUUGUUUUUAUUUUUUAUAUUACCCUAUAAAGCAAUGUAUUUGAAUUCUCCUGGUAGUAUUACAUUGGUCCAAGUUUAAAAGACAUGUUUUUCUCUUUAGGAAAAAUGCUUAUCCCCCACACUGUACCCCACUCCCUCCAAUGGCUAUAGCAGAUUAUGGAUAAGGGGUUAUUUCUGUCUUUAGCACAGUCUUUACUUGUUUAUCAUGAGUACAUUAAAGAAAUGAAAAUGUUAACAAAUCUUGACACUCCUUCAGACUUUUAUAUAGGAAAAAUCCAAAAAUUUCCAUAAGUGAACUAGUACUCUCAUUUUUGAGAAGUAGAAGUGGUGUGUGUGUGUGUGUGUGUGUGGGGUUUGUGUAAUAACCCUAGAUUUUUUUCUUUUACUAAUAAAAGUAUAAACUUUAAUGUUUCAAUUUACCUUUUUCCCUGUUCUAUUUCUUUUUUUUUUAGAAAAGUUUAUUUAAUAAAUAAAAAUCAUAGGUAAAGCUUUUGGAACAUAGUAGUUCUUUACCCCGUAUCUGUCCUCCUACCCCCAAACCGUCCCACCUCCUAUUCCCUCUCACAUCCCACCCUUCAUUAAGAUUCAUUUUUAAUUAUCUUUAUAUACAGAAGAUUAACUCUAUACUAAGUAACGAUUUUAACAGUUUGUACCCACAUAGAUACACAAAAUAUAAGGUACUGUCUGAAGACAAGUUUUACUGUUAAUUCUCAUAGUACAGCUCAUUAAGGACAGAGGUCCUACGUGGGGAGCAAGUGCACAGUGACUCCUUUUUUUUUUUUUUUUUUUUUUUUUGACAGAGUGGACAGUGAGAGAGAGAGACAGAGAGAAAGAUCUUCCUUUUUGCUGUUGGUUCACCCUCCAAUGGCUGCAUCGCGCUGAUCCGAAGCCAGGAGCCAGGUGCUUUUUCCUGGUCUCCCAUGGGGUGCAGGGCCCAAGCACCUGGGCCAUCCUCCACUGCACUCCCGGGCCAUAGCAGAGAGCUGGCCUGGAAGAGGGGCAACCGGAACAGAAUCUGGCGCCCCGACUGGGACUAGAACCUGGUGUGCUGGCGCCGCAAGGCAGAGGAUUAGCCUAUUGAGCCACGGCGCCGGCCAUCCUGUUGUUGAUUUAACAUCAAUUUACUUUUUAAUGUCAGUAACUCCUCUGUGCUUUUUCUUUCUGCUAUAGGAAAAAGGUUUAUUUAUUUCAAAUUCAUAUCUACCUUGUCUGGAUUGGAGUUUCAGGGGAAAUGUAGAAGUGGUCAGUUUACUGAAACUUUUUAUAAGCAAUCCUUUACCAAGGCCUUAAUUCCUAUGGGAACACUUACUAAGACGUUAGACAACAUGUUAUGAAUAGAACACUUUGAAAGCCCAAAGAAAUACUUUCAUAUUUCUCAGGUGAGUGGUCUAGGUCUCUUAUUAGCACAUGAAUAAAUUGAGCACUAAGUUUAGUAGGCUAGUAUUUUGGAUUGAUUUAUAUCAAAGAGGAGUAAAAAUGGAAGAGAGUAUGCAGCAUAAAUAUUGUGAGGCCAGAGAGAGAGAGCUGUUUUAGAAUCACAUAUCCUGCCCUUUAGAGUGCCUCACAGUUUAAAAAGGCAUUUUACCUAUAUAUAAUCUUACUUGGAUUUUUAUUCAAAAAGCAAUUCUUAAAUAGUCAUCAUGAAAGAGCCAUGACCAAUUUUCAUCUUUUAAGGUAUGGGAAUUGAGGAUUAUGGUUAGCAACACACUUAAAUUUGCAUAGUUAGUAAGGUGCAAAGAAUUAAA
Oryctolagus cuniculus (rabbit) is the source of this 10571-nucleotide non-coding RNA. NCBI's taxonomy places the organism in Eukaryota, Metazoa, Chordata, Mammalia, Lagomorpha, Leporidae. The record is from RefSeq and is a predicted model, not a curated record.